GUUGCUAUGGAAGUGAUAUUAGCAAUAUUAGAAAUCCAGCACUGUGGGCUGUGUAGCAGUAGAAUGUGAUAGAAGCUGAAAGCAUGGAUGCUGUAGAAGAAGCUUUCAUUUCAACAUAAAUAUCUUUAAUUCUUUGGAAAACCUUCAGAGAAAAAGAGGACAGUAUCAGAGAAAAGUAUAAACUACCUCCUUCAUUCAACACUCGCUCUUUUUUGGAUAUGCUGCUGUAUGUCAGCCUUGGCUGAUGUUGCAUCCUUCAGACAAUGAUUGCUUGCCAUCAUCCUACUGGGAAAGAUGCUUCCUGGGCUGAAACACUGUGUGCAGCUCCAUGAAGAAAAGGAUCUUGGGUAUCAUGGUGGCAAUUAUGAACAAGAGAAGAUAAAAGCAACAGGAUAAAGGAAAUUAAGAGAACCUGUAUUUAUUUUGAAGAAAAGGAAAGCUGUUUAUAGCGACAGAUAUCAACCUAUUCUUACGAGAGAAACCAAACAAGUACGGCUAACCUACUCCAUUAGGAAUACUUCUGGAACACUGGUAGGAAGAGAUAUCUGCGCUGUUAGUGCUGCACCAUUGGAGUUAUCAGCUGGGGAAACCCUGGGCAAGGAAAAGGAAGACCAGGAAUUUUGAACGGUUAUGUACCAAGUAUGAAAGUGAGUGUGAGAUCUGGAAUAAUAAUGUGAUGAAUAAGGAUUCUGACUCCAGCAUAUUUGGCAAAACAUUCACUGACUUCAGUUGAGCCAGGGAAAUACCUGAUUAAUUAUUUGCUGCUGCUGUUGUUUCACGUGGGCAUCACAGAUACAGCCAGAAGCAGUGUGAGGAUUGCAGAGCCCUGGGCGUGGCAGUCAAGGACUCUGGAGCACAGUUACAAAUAAGUGAUACAAGGGGAGAACUAUGAAAAGUACCUCAGAAGAAAAUACAUAACCAAGUAAAAUCUCUUUACCAGAUACACAACGUUUUCCAUGGAGCUGAAUGUGUCUUGGAUUAUGACAAAUGGUCUUAAGAGCCUCACCUGCAUUGAGGCAGCUUCACUCCAAUAAAGGAAUAAUUGAUACGGCCAUCUUGAAAGAAAUGAACCACCAAACGGAAUGAACCCUAGUGCUCUUCGGGACAUGUAGGACUCAGCAGACAGUAGUAGAAGAAACUUUUUUAAUUUCCUCUGCCAAGACAACUGGGUCAGUGAACUAAGCAGGCAGGUAUCCAUCUUCACCCUACAGCACUGAGAGACAUAAUUCUUUGUUCUUGGUUGUUGUGUUUUCUGUAAUUAGAAUAUAUUAAUAUAUUCUGUCAUUAAUAUACUAUAUAAUAUUAAUAUAUUAUAUAAUAUAUAUAUUUAAAUAUAUUAAGUGUUCAGGAACUGUGUAGAUGAGGUCCUCAGUGGCAUGGUUUAGUGGUGGUCUUGGUAGUCCUGGGGUAAUGUUCGGACUUGAUGAUCUUUAAGGUCUUUUGCAACCUAAUUGAUUCUAUGAUUCUAUAUUUUUCAGUCAUUCUGGAUACUUUCAAUUUGUAAGUAGAUCAGGAUGCCUAUAGCAAAUUAUUAUACUGUUGGUCUAUAGUGGAAGUUUUAUGAGCCAUUCUGUAUCCUUAUUUCUUAAAGGAAGAUAAAACAACACAAAAAUCAAGUUGAAUGGUACAAAAAGCAUUGCUGUUUUGGUUUUCUUAUUUACGAAGCACUGAACUGUAAAGUAUUGUAAUAAUAGCUUGUAUUAAUUUUAACAAACUUGAAAAUAUUGAUGACUAACAUUUAGGUGCUUUUUCAGUCUGUUUCUCAUCAACCUUUAGCUUUUUGCUCGAGGCACCACAUUUGUUAUGUUAGUGUAAAUAGAUAAUUACAAACAGUGGUAAAAUGAAAUACCACCACGGGUAAAGCUAAGAGACUUUUAAAAGCUUCAUAUGGAUUGUGAACAUACCAGUUUUAUUAAUACAAAACCCAUUAUUGUGCUGCUUGCUAAAUAGCUCCAAUUCUGUUAGAAAAUAUGCUGUUUCCUAAAACUAGCGUUUUUCUGGUUCUUGCUUUCUACUCAUGCAUGAAAUAUUGAAUUUGUCUUCAGAAACUACCCAGGGGAUUUGAAGGAAAAAAAAAAAAAGUUAUGCCUCUUCUCACAGACUGGUCUUUAAGUAAAGGUUAAACAGUACAGUGGUUGAAACUCUGAUGAUCCUGAGUCUGUUGGAGAUGAUAUCUUUAGCCUUUUGUAAGCAGAGAUUUAUUUUGCAAAGACACAGGGGAUAUGUUGUAGGGGAUACAGGGUAUAAUGCCUGAUGUGUUGCUGAAGAAGAGCCUACUAAAGAGGAAAUAGUAAGUGUUACUAGAUUAGCACAGGGC
Molecule: long non-coding RNA, 2317 nt
Organism: Strigops habroptila (Kakapo)
Lineage: Eukaryota; Metazoa; Chordata; Aves; Psittaciformes; Psittacidae
Exons: 10
Source: RefSeq, a predicted model, not a curated record